Molecule: long non-coding RNA, 447 nt
Organism: Leopardus geoffroyi (Geoffroy's cat)
Lineage: Eukaryota; Metazoa; Chordata; Mammalia; Carnivora; Felidae
Exons: 2
Source: RefSeq, a predicted model, not a curated record
ACGCGGCUCAAGUCUUGACAACGUUCCUUCCGGUCAGCCUGUCCCCUUGCCACAGUCCAUGAAGUGACACCAUUCUUAUGGCUUCUCAAAAGCACCGUUAUUUCAGUUAAUUCCAGGUAAAAUGUACAUGGUUCCUUGGCAACAUUCUUCCUCCUCAUUUUUUUUUUAAGAACUUGCGAGUUUGAAUCUGAACAUUUGCCUACUAUUUACAUUAAAUAAUUGCCUUGCCUUUAGCAAGCUGGACUACACUUAACAUAUGCCCUUUGGUGGAGUGGAGACGACUUGUCUGUCCUGUCCAAGCUUAAAUACCAAGGGAAUGACUUUAAAUCUUGCUGGAUGGAACUGCCACUCACCGCUAGAAAUCGGGGAUCAACAGCGAACUCUGGAUGACCCUGUAACCACAUCUCCAGUUCAGCCCGGCGAGGGGCAUCCUCACCCACCAGCAAA